UACAGAGGGUGCGAGCGUUGUUCGGAAUUAUUGGGCGUAAAGCGCAUGUAGGCGGCUUUGCAAGUCGCGUGUGAAAGCUCCAGGCUCAACCUGGAAAGUGCGCGCGAAACUGUGAGGCUUGAGUGCCGGAGAGGGUGGCGGAAUUUCCGGUGUAGCGGUGAAAUGCGUAGAUAUCGGAAGGAACAUCAGUGGCGAAAGCGACUUCCUGGACCAGUACCGACGUUCAGGCACGAAAGCGUGGGGAGCAAACAGG
This 253-nucleotide ribosomal RNA is filed under the name uncultured bacterium. Its description in RNAcentral is "partial 16S ribosomal RNA". It matches the Rfam family "Bacterial small subunit ribosomal RNA", at positions 524 to 776 of the family's 1533-position model. The record is from RNAcentral.